AGUGGCGGACGGGUGAGUAACGCGUGGGUAACCUGCCCUGUACAGGGGGAUAACAGUUAGAAAUGACUGCUAACACCGCAUAAGCGCACGGUAAGGCAUCUUAGUGCGUGAAAAUAUUAAUAGGUACAGGAUGGGCCCGCGUCUGAUUAGCCAGUUGGCAGGGUAACGGCCUACCAAAGCGACGAUCAGUAGCCGGCUUGAGAGAGUGAACGGCCACAUCGGGACUGAGACACGGCCCAAACUCCUACGGAAGGCAGCAG
Molecule: ribosomal RNA, 260 nt
Filed under: uncultured bacterium
Lineage: Bacteria
Description: partial 16S ribosomal RNA
Rfam family: Bacterial small subunit ribosomal RNA
Source: RNAcentral